AGUAUCAUCAAAACUAAAUACACUAUACUAAAACUGGAAUGAUACAGAGAAGAUUAGCAUGGCCCCUGCACAAGGAUGACACGCAAAUUCGUGAAGCGUUUCAUAUUUUU
This is a small nuclear RNA of Marmota marmota marmota (Alpine marmot), 110 nucleotides long. Lineage: Eukaryota; Metazoa; Chordata; Mammalia; Rodentia; Sciuridae. The record is from Ensembl.